This is a long non-coding RNA of Homo sapiens (human), 1348 nucleotides long. NCBI's taxonomy places the organism in Eukaryota, Metazoa, Chordata, Mammalia, Primates, Hominidae. The record is from Ensembl.
GCCUCUCCCACACCCCGCCGACAGUCCCGCCUCUCCCCGACGCUUCCGCCGGCGGCCCAGUCCCUUGCCCUGGGACCCCAGCCUGUAGUGUUUGGAGACCCCGGCUCCUCUUCUAUUUCUCUUGAUCUGGGGUCCGGCUGGCGAUAGUGUCCGCGGUGCGCCCCUUUCUCUUGGUCGUUUAUGACCUCCACGUCGUCUUUUCUUCAGCGCGAAAGCUCACCAGUUGACGGGAUGCUUGGGGAUUUGCAACCGCCUCAUCGCUGCCCCCUACCGGCGCAUAUUCAAAACGUCUCUGCGAAAAGCUGUUAUUACCUUCGGAGCCAACAGGGGCUGCUCGUUUACCCACAGACAGUCGGAAAAAAAUGGCCGCCGGAUCACAGAGAGCAAAAAGUACGUUCUCUUAAAGAAUUUCCAAGUUCUUCCCGCGGCCGUUCAGGAUGCUGCUUGCAGUUACCAACAUUAUUCCCCUGCACUGAGCUGACCUGAGCUUCCCUGCCUACCUCCUGUCACGGAUGUCACCUUCUUUCACCCCUGUCCUGUCAAGGUUUUUGCUUUAGAAUGCUAUAGACCAAAGACGGGCUAAUCAACAGUCUUACACACAAAUCCUUUCGUUCUACUUGGCUACAGGCAGGGCUAAUCUUCCGAAGAGGAAUCCCACUACUGCCUCCUUAUAAGGGAAAAACUCCUCUCAGAGGAACCCAGAACGCCCUGUGAUGACAGAGGUGAGGGGCCAGCGUGGCAGAAUGCACCACCCUGUCUCCUCGCUUGCUUCUCUCUCCGUCGGAUUGCCAAAAAGGGAACGGCACCUAGACGCCGAAAAGUAACUGAAGCAAAGGGAGUUUAAAGAACGCGCCCAGCCGCCUGGGUCUUGAACCCAGUGUUAAUGAGAGCAAAAACCUCUGCAUCCUCCACUGAGCUGUCCUUGAGCAUGUCUCAUAAUCAUGCUUCAUUUUAAAAACAGAAAUAAGUGAGUAAGCUAUGAAAGAAGACAACCUUUAAAUUUUUCAAAAGUUCUUGGUGGUCUGUGAUUAGAAAUUUCAUCUAUAUGAAAUAACUGUUUUGGAGGGCUUACUGUUAAAUUCAGGCAUUUUAGGGCCAGUGGAAACUGGUUAAGCAUUCACAUCAGUCUUAACAUUAAUCUGAUAAUCUACUGGGAGUUUAAAGACUCUAAGCACUAAACACAGAUUUUCCUCACUGUCUAUAAAAUGAAAGAGGAAAGAAGCAUUGUACUAAAUUUUUUAUAAAGCUAAUUGUAUUCCCUUUUUUUUUUUUGAGGUAGUUCAUUGCAUUUUGAACAAGGAUAACUGUCAGAAAAGAUCCUCUUUGAAUAAAACAGGUAUCUCCCCCA